UACGGAGGGGGCUAGCGUUGUUCGGAAUUACUGGGCGUAAAGCGUACGUAGGCGGCUUUGUAAGUUAGAGGUGAAAGCCCGGGGCUCAACUCCGGAAUUGCCUUUAAGACUGCAUCGCUUGAUCACGGGAGAGGUGAGUGGAAUUCCGAGUGUAGAGGUGAAAUUCGUAGAUAUUCGGAAGAACACCAGUGGCGAAGGCGGCUCACUGGACCGUAGAUGACGCUGAGGUACGAAAGCGUGGGGAGCAAACAGG
Molecule: ribosomal RNA, 253 nt
Filed under: uncultured bacterium
Lineage: Bacteria
Description: partial 16S ribosomal RNA
Rfam family: Bacterial small subunit ribosomal RNA
Source: RNAcentral